UAUUAUUAUUAUUAUUAUUAUCAUAUGCAAGUAUCAGUUUCUAUUUGGUUUGGUUUUUAUAAUCUUGAAGUUUUAUUUCCUUCAAACCAAUGUGUACGUUUUUAAGUGGUAAACUAAGCCAACUACCAAAUUUAGAUGGGUGUCUUCCAGAUUGGCAGAUUUAAUUGAAUGAUGCAUAUCCUUGAGGGUGAAAGUUUUUCUAGCGGAGGGAGGAGGCUUGCUUUUGGGCCUUGAAUUUUGAUGAAAUUUGAAAUAUUUCAAGUAGAAGGACCCUCUUUUAUUUUUGUUCCCAUGAUUAUAAGAUAUCUAUCUAUUUUAUUUGCAAAGUUCUGCCUUAUUCUCCUGAUAUUGGUUCAACUUCUGAAACGGUUGUGUUUCUUCUAGGUAGUUAAAUACAUUAUCAUAAUGGCAGGUGGUGUGCAUCACCAUCAGCAGGUUCUUAAUAUGGUGUUAGAUAUACUGGAAGAUUCAAAUCCAAAUGUUAGCUGGAGAAAUUUCAAAUGGUUCAUCUGCCAAAUCAAUUGUUAUUGCCUUAUCUUGUUUACGCUUAAGAUUUUAAAUUGAUCUUGUUAUGUAG
RNAcentral lists this unclassified non-coding RNA (577 nucleotides) under Hevea brasiliensis (rubber tree). Lineage: Eukaryota; Viridiplantae; Streptophyta; Magnoliopsida; Malpighiales; Euphorbiaceae. The record is from RNAcentral.